GACGAACGCUGGCGGCGUGCUUAACACAUGCAAGUCGAGCGAGGUCCACUCGGUGGCAACACCGGGGAAGACCUAGCGGCGAACGGGUGAGUAACACGUGAGCAACCUGCCCCGAAGACCGGGAUAACACCGGGAAACCGGUGCUAAUACCGGAUGUCCUCAUUGGGCCGCAUGGUCCGAUGAGGAAAUGGAUUCCGCUUCGGGAGGGGCUCGCGGGCUAUCAGCUUGUUGGUGAGGUAACGGCUCACCAAGGCUA
RNAcentral lists this ribosomal RNA (256 nucleotides) under uncultured Actinomycetes bacterium. RNAcentral describes it as "uncultured actinobacterium partial 16S ribosomal RNA". It matches the Rfam family "Bacterial small subunit ribosomal RNA", at positions 28 to 276 of the family's 1533-position model. The record is from RNAcentral. Lineage: Bacteria; Bacillati; Actinomycetota; Actinomycetes.